CCUACGGGAGGCAGCAGUAAGGAAUAUUGGUCAAUGGACGCAAGUCUGAACCAGCCAUGCCGCGUGAAGGAUUAAGGCCCUCUGGGUUGUAAACUUCUUUUAUAGGGGACGAAAAAAGGGCAUUCUUGCUCACUUGACGGUACCCUAGGAAUAAGCACCGGCUAACUCCGUGCCAGCAGCCGCGGUAAUACGGAGGGUGCAAGCGUUAUCCGGAUUUACUGGGUUUAAAGGGUGCGUAGGUGGGUUGGUAAGUCAGUGGUGAAAUCUUCGAGCUUAACUCGGAAACUGCCAUUGAUACUAUCAAUCUUGAAUCAUCUAGAGGUAAGCGGAAUAUGUCAUGUAGCGGUGAAAUGCUUAGAUAUGACAUAGAACACCAAUUGCGAAGGCAGCUUACUAUGGAUGUAUUGACACUGAGGCACGAAAGCGUGGGGAUCAAACAGGAUUAGAUACCCUGGUAGUCCACGCCCUAAACGAUGGAUACUCGACAUUUGUGAUAUACUAUAAGUGUNUGNGNGAAGANAUAAGUAUCCACCNCGGAGUAAGACCGCGAGUUAGUAAGUUANAANAGAUUGNGNGNGAGAGNGCGAGNGACACAGGAGAGG
Molecule: ribosomal RNA, 602 nt
Filed under: uncultured bacterium
Lineage: Bacteria
Description: bacterial SSU rRNA
Rfam family: Bacterial small subunit ribosomal RNA (bases 1-533)
Source: RNAcentral